Molecule: ribosomal RNA, 301 nt
Filed under: uncultured bacterium
Lineage: Bacteria
Description: partial 16S ribosomal RNA
Rfam family: Bacterial small subunit ribosomal RNA
Source: RNAcentral
CAGUAGCCGCGGGAAUACGAAGGGUGCAAGCGUUAAUCGGAAUUACUGGCGUAAAGCGUGCGUAGGCGGUGAGUUAAGUCUGCUGUGAAAUCCCCGGGCUCAACCUGGGAAUGGCAGUGGAUACUGGCUCGCUAGAGUGUGUCAGAGGAUGGUGGAAUUCCCGGUGUAGCGGUGAAAUGCGUAGAGAUCGGGAGGAACAUCAGUGGCGAAGGCGGCCAUCUAGGACAACACUGACGCUGAGGCACGAAAGCGUGGGGAGCAAACAGGAUUAGAUACCCGGGUAGUCCCUGUCUCUUAUACA